RNAcentral lists this unclassified non-coding RNA (247 nucleotides) under Hevea brasiliensis (rubber tree). Lineage: Eukaryota; Viridiplantae; Streptophyta; Magnoliopsida; Malpighiales; Euphorbiaceae. The record is from RNAcentral.
GAAACAUGCACAGUCUGUGCACCUUCACGGAAAAACUCUAGAAUUUUUCAAAAAGUCCACAAGAUCUUACACAGGUACUACAUAGCCUGUGCACAUCCUCAUUAAUUGGCUGAAGGAAGAAUUUUCUCACAUGCGUGAUUACCUUAGAUACACUAUUUUUGGGCUAACCUAGGGUUCUCUGUCAGGAGAGUAUAAAAGCUACUCUUACCUCAUUUUGCUGUAGGAAGAAAGAUUGAAAAAAGGAAGG